Molecule: ribosomal RNA, 499 nt
Filed under: uncultured bacterium
Lineage: Bacteria
Description: partial 16S ribosomal RNA
Rfam family: Bacterial small subunit ribosomal RNA
Source: RNAcentral
GACGAACGCUGGCGGCGUGCCUAAUACAUGCAAGUCGAGCGAAGUUUUUCUGGUGCUUGCACUAGAAAAACUUAGCGGCGAACAGGUGAGUAACACGUAAAGAACCUGCCUCAUAGACUGGGACAACUAUUGGAAACGAUAGCUAAUACCGGAUAACAGUAUUUCUCGCAUGAGAGAUAUUUAAAAGUUGGUUAUGCUAACACUAUGAGAUGGCUUUGCGGUGCAUUAGCUAGUUGGUGGGGUAAAGGCCCACCAAGGCGACGAUGCAUAGCCGACCUGAGAGGGUGAUCGGCCACACUGGGACUGAGACACGGCCCAGACUCCUACGGGAGGCAGCAGUAGGGAAUCUUCCGCAAUGGGCGAAAGCCUGACGGAGCAACGCCGCGUGAGUGAAGAAGGAUUUCGGUUCGUAAAGCUCUGUUGUUAGGGAAGAAUGGAUAUGUAGUAACUAUACAUGUAAGAGACGGUACCUAACCAGAAAGCCACGGCUAACUACGUG